GAUGAACGCUAGCUACAGGCUUAACACAUGCAAGUCGAGGGGAAACGGCAUUGAGUGCUUGCACUCUUUGGACGUCGACCGGCGCACGGGUGAGUAACGCGUAUCCAACCUUCCCAUUACUGUGGGAUAACCUGCCGAAAGGCAGACUAAUACCGCAUAGUCUUCGAUGACGGCAUCAGAUUUGAAGUAAAGAUUUAUCGGUAAUGGAUGGGGAUGCGUCUGAUUAGCUUGUUGGCGGGGUAACGGCCCACCAAGGCUACGAUCAGUAGGGGUUCUGAGAGGAAGGUCCCCCACAUUGGAACUGAGACACGGUCCAAACUCCUACGGGAGGCAGCAGUGAGGAAUAUUGGACAAUGGACGGAAGUCUGAACCAGCCAAGUAGCGUGCAGGAUGACGGCCCUAUGGGUUGUAAACUGCUUUUGUAUGGGGAUAAAGUUAGGGACGUGUCCCUAUUUGCAGGUACCAUACGAAUAAGGACCGGCUAAUUCCGUG
Molecule: ribosomal RNA, 492 nt
Filed under: uncultured bacterium
Lineage: Bacteria
Description: partial 16S ribosomal RNA
Rfam family: Bacterial small subunit ribosomal RNA
Source: RNAcentral